RNAcentral lists this ribosomal RNA (314 nucleotides) under uncultured Methanosaeta sp. RNAcentral describes it as "bacterial SSU rRNA". It matches the Rfam family "Archaeal small subunit ribosomal RNA", at positions 1028 to 1338 of the family's 1478-position model. The record is from RNAcentral. Lineage: Archaea; Methanobacteriati; Methanobacteriota; Methanomicrobia; Methanotrichales; Methanotrichaceae.
GUUAAGUCAGGCAACGAGCGAGACCCACGUCCACAGUUGCCAGCAUACCCUCCGGGGGUGGAUGGGUACACUGUGGAGACCGCCGCUGCUAAAGCGGAGGGAAGGAAUGGGCAACGGUAGGUCAGUAUGCCCCGAAUCUCCCGGGCUACACGCGGGCUACAAUGGUUGGUACAAUGGGCAUCUACCCCGAAAGGGGAAGGAAAUCUCUUAAAGCCAAUCGUAGUUCGGAUUGAGGGCUGCAACUCGCCCUCAUGAAGCUGGAAUCCGUAGUAAUCGCGUUUCAACAGAACGCGGUGAAUACGUCCCUGCUCCUU